Helianthus annuus (common sunflower) is the source of this 766-nucleotide long non-coding RNA. RefSeq lists it as uncharacterized. The record is from RefSeq and is a predicted model, not a curated record. Lineage: Eukaryota; Viridiplantae; Streptophyta; Magnoliopsida; Asterales; Asteraceae. The transcript has 2 exons.
GAAAAGACCCAAAGUAAUAAAAAUAAUCAUCCAACUCUGUCAAUAAAAUGACAACUCAAAACUACACACACAUCACCCUUAAAAACCAUCAUCCCACAUCAGCAGUCAUGUACUCCUCCUUUCUCUGUUUCUCACACUAACAAUAAUCAUCACUCCACCGCCUCCCCCUUUCUCUCCACCGCUUUCUACGAUCACGUUUCCGGCGAUUUAAGCGCCGCUCGUUUGGUUCCGUUGAACCGGCUUCUGUUUCCGAUCACUUUUCAGAAACUCGGCUCCGACCACCUAUUCAUGUCGUUUAGGGUGAAAAAAGGCAAAAAAACAACAACCUGCAGGUCGAACCAGCCGAAUUUUUGACAUUUGCUGAAAAUAGCCAAACCGGCAAACCGGAUCGGCGGAGGGACCGAACCCCGGCGGCGGCGAUGGUGGGUCUAUGGUACUAACGGUUCUGAAGGUUUCAAUAUCAUGGUCAUGAGCGGUUUUGUAACAUCUCAUCAAAUCGAUGACUAUUUGGAGUCUACUUUGUUUGUCUCUUCAUCUCUCUCUAUCUCUCAUAGAUCCGCAGCUGUUGUGUGUGACUGGUGUAAUUGUUUGGUGAUAUACCAUGUUUGCCUCUCUGUCAGAAAUUGUUACCGGUGACGAAGAUAUCAAAGGACAAAAAUGUAAUUUGAGUGGGGCUGUCGGUGGCAAAGGCCACCGACUUUGUAAUUUAAGAUAGAUUGUAAUAUCAAAAUAAUAAUAUAAAUGUCAAUUAAUUUAUGUUAAAUUA